Molecule: unclassified non-coding RNA, 1392 nt
Filed under: Leishmania donovani
Lineage: Eukaryota; Euglenozoa; Kinetoplastea; Trypanosomatida; Trypanosomatidae
Description: gene:LdHU3.29.0940(CDS-product:Scavenger_mRNA_dec apping_enzyme_C-_binding/HIT_domain_containing_protein_puta tive)
Source: RNAcentral
ACCCUCUCGCGGCGCACGGCAGCCGGUUCAUCGGCGCCCGAGCGCCACUAGCCCACACCCACGCACCCACGCACACCUUCACGACUGCAUAGAUUCAACGACGAGUGUGUGUGCAUGUUUGGGGAGGAAAUCCACCACCACAGAGCACAACCGGGCGUCGCCGUUCAUCGUGUGUCCCCUUUUCUCUCUCAUACACCCCGUCCACCGCGUGCGCACCUUUCCUACCCGCCGAUAAAGACCACAUGCAGGCCUCACCGGUGCUGGCCGGCGCGGCGGUGCGCCGAACGGCGGCGGCCUCCGUCGGCAGCGAACCUCGCACCAGGUUACCCUUUCUCAUCAACGUUGUCAAGAAGGCGCAGAAGUCUGCCAACACGGUGGUUGCGCCGACGCCGGCACUCUCCUCGACGUUGUCGACGACGGAGCCGCCUAUCCAAGCCGCCGCCUUCAAGCCAUACCCGCUUCUGAGCCCUGGCGAGACCAAGCAGGCCGCCGGCAGCUCCCUCCUCUACAAGGACGACGUCUGCGUGCUUGUGAACGAUGCAUUCCCCAAAUCGAUGGUUCACUGCCUGGUCAUGCCACUGGACCUCCGCCUACAGUCCCUCAACGCCCUCACCAAGAAGGACAUCCCACUGCUGCGCCACAUGCUGCACGUGGGGGAUGAGUACGUUCGCUACUUAAAGACGGCGGUUCCCCACACCUACACGGCGCGCCGGUUUAUUGCGGGAUUCCACGCGCUUCCCUCGUUGCCCAUGCUGCACCUGCACGUGCUGUCUACGGAUCUGGACAGUCCUUGUCUCAAGAACAAGAAGCACUACAACAGCUUCGCCACCUUCUUCUUCCUCACGGGCUACCGCGUCUUGGAAGACCUGGAGCAGCACGGCCGCGUGACGCUGAACCAGGAUGUCACUCGCUUUCGACAGAUGGAGGAGCAGGACAUGAAGUGCCUGUGGUGCGGCACCGCACUGCCGAGCGUGCCCGCUAUGAAGUCUCACAUCCAGAGCUGCCCGCAGAACAAAGCCGUGGAGAAAUCGUCGUAGGUGGGUGGGUGUGGGCUUUUGGCCACCGUGACGCACAAACGUAACACUCAGCAGCAGCACUCAAAGGAGGGAGCUACGCCAGCCGGCUCAUCCGCAGGAAGGCAGUGCCGACAGGUCUGCAGAGAAGACACCGGCUUUUCGGCAGCGUGACGCGUCACCUGAACAUGACCGCUUCCACAGCGCGUCUUUUUACGCGCGUCUGUGUAAAAAAAAAAGAAAACGCAGAAUGUGCAUGCAAUCUGUGCGUAGGUGCCGCGGCACCUAUCGCCUCCGCUUCUCUGCAUCUCUCUCCUCUACUGCCCUUUUCUUUUCCCAUUCUUCAUCUGCAACCCGAUGCCGGCGUGCGUGUCGGAAG